This 98-nucleotide ribosomal RNA is filed under the name Pectobacterium odoriferum. RNAcentral also lists the same sequence under 1 other name. Lineage: Bacteria; Pseudomonadati; Pseudomonadota; Gammaproteobacteria; Enterobacterales; Pectobacteriaceae. The record is from RNAcentral.
GUGGUCCCACCUGACCCCAUGCCGAACUCAGAAGUGAAACGCCGUAGCGCCGAUGGUAGUGUGGGGCUUCCCCAUGUGAGAGUAGGGAACUGCCAGGC